Small nucleolar RNA from Panicum hallii, 107 nucleotides. The record is from RefSeq and is a predicted model, not a curated record. Lineage: Eukaryota; Viridiplantae; Streptophyta; Magnoliopsida; Poales; Poaceae.
AUCCCAUGAUGAGGACAGGGUAGGAUGCACUCUUGGAGCCUUUCCCAAGCUUUAGGGAUUGACUCCAUCCCUAUCUGCUGGAAACUAGAAAUUUUUCCGCAGGGCGU